GGGGUUGUUCAGGGGCGCAGCGAGUCUUUUGGGGAUUUGAUUGAUUCAAAAGUUGAUCCUCAGAUGAUGAAGUCUAGUGAAAAGCCCGAUCAGUGAUGGAUGAUGCUGAUCUGUGGAUAUAUUGAACUUGUUUGAUGAAAUGCUUCGGAAAAAAUCUUGUUAAUCGGAAUUCAUUUGAUUGCGGAUCCCGUAAAGCAAUAACAAUUUUGGGCGCAGCAUGUAGGCAUUUUGA
This 232-nucleotide unclassified non-coding RNA is filed under the name Hevea brasiliensis (rubber tree). Lineage: Eukaryota; Viridiplantae; Streptophyta; Magnoliopsida; Malpighiales; Euphorbiaceae. The record is from RNAcentral.